This 873-nucleotide ribosomal RNA is filed under the name Cytospora junipericola. Its description in RNAcentral is "partial 28S ribosomal RNA". It matches the Rfam family "Eukaryotic large subunit ribosomal RNA", at positions 69 to 972 of the family's 3401-position model. Lineage: Eukaryota; Fungi; Ascomycota; Sordariomycetes; Diaporthales; Cytosporaceae. The record is from RNAcentral.
CAGGGAUUGCCCUAGUAACGGCGAGUGAAGCGGCAACAGCUCAAAUUUGAAAGCUGGCUUAGGCCCGCAUUGUAAUUUGCAGAGGAUGCUUUUGGUGAGGUGCCUUCCGAGUUCCCUGGAACGGGACGCCAUAGAGGGUGAGAGCCCCGUAUGGAUGGACACCAAACCUGUGUAAAGCUCCUUCAACGAGUCGAGUAGUUUGGGAAUGCUGCUCAAAAUGGGAGGUAAAUCUCUUCUAAAGCUAAAUACCGGCCAGAGACCGAUAGCGCACAAGUAGAGUGAUCGAAAGAUGAAAAGCACCUUGAAAAGGGGGUUAAACAGUACGUGAAAUUGUUGAAAGGGAAGCGCUUGUGACCAGACUUGCGCCGGGCAGCUCAUCAGGGGUUCUCCCCUGUGCACUCUGCCCGGCUCAGGCCAGCAUCGGUUCUCGUGGGAGGAUAAGAACAGUAGGAAUGUGGCCCCCUCUCGGGGGGGUGUUAUAGCCUAUUGUACGAUACUCUCGUGGGGACCGAGGUUCGCGCUCCGCAAGGAUGCUGGCGUAAUGGUCAUCAGCGACCCGUCUUGAAACACGGACCAAGGAGUCGUCCAUUAGAGCGAGCGUUUGGGUGUAAAACCCGCACGCGUAAUGAAAGUGAACGCAGGUGAGAGCUUCGGCGCAUCAUCGACCGAUCCUGAUGUCUUCGGAUGGAUUUGAGUAAGAGUUUUAACGGACGGACCCGAAAGACAGUGAACUAUGCUUGUAUAGGGUGAAGCCAGAGGAAACUCUGGUGGAGGCUCGCAGCGGUUCUGACGUGCAAAUCGAUCGUCAAAUAUGAGCAUGGGGGCGAAAGACUAAUCGAACUGUCUAGUAGCUGGUUACCGCCGAGUCCCCCC